RNAcentral lists this ribosomal RNA (2374 nucleotides) under Hirondellea guyoti. RNAcentral describes it as "partial 18S small subunit ribosomal RNA". It matches the Rfam family "Eukaryotic small subunit ribosomal RNA". Lineage: Eukaryota; Metazoa; Arthropoda; Malacostraca; Amphipoda; Lysianassidae. The record is from RNAcentral.
GUUUACACGGCGAGACCGCGGACGGCUCAUUAAAUCAGUCGUGGUCCAUAUGGGCUAGAGUUAAUCCUACUUGGAUAACUGUGGUAAUUCCAGAGCUAAUACAUGCAACUCUUAUCCUGACGUAGCGCGGCUUAUCUCUUUCUCGCUCUCUCACGAGUGUGUGUUUUGGGUUUGUCGUAGCGCUGACGGAUGCUUUUAUUAGACCAAACCGCUGGGUGCGUGUUCGUGUUUAUUCACGGAUGCGUACGGCUCGUUUAAUGGUGACUCUGGAUAACCUUAUUGACAAGCGCACGUACUCCUCGUGGGACGGCGCUGCCACUUUCGAGUGUCUGCCUUAUCAGCUAUCAACCGUUCGUUAUGUGCGCACGAUGGCUUUGACGGGUAACGGGGAAUCAGAGUUCGAUUCCGGAGAGGCAGCCUGAGAGACGGCUACCACGUCCAAGGACGGCAGCAGGCACGCAAAUUACCCAAUCCCAGCACCUGGGGGAGGUAGUGACGAAAUCUAACGAUGCGGGCGCCCUUUCUGGGGCCCCGCAAUCGGAAUGGCCACUUUCUAAACAACCUGUUGAGAACCUACUGAAGGGCAAGUCUGGUGCCAGCAGCCGCGGUAAUUCCAGCUUCAGUAGCAUCUAUUAAAGUUGCUGCGGUUAAAAGGCUCGCAGUUGAAUGUCAGUAUCGAGCGCAGGUCAGGUGGACGCUGGGGCGUGAACAUUCAAGGCGCUUCGCUUGUGUUGAUUGUUGAGUGCAUGCACGCGCAUUCGUACGAAAGUGCGUUUGUGUGUUUGUGUGUAUUUCGCUUUUGGCUUUGAGUUGUGUCGUUCACAUGCCCCCGUCCGUAACAAGCCUCCUCGCUUGUGUACAUAACGGAAUCUGUAUUACGGAGUGUGCGUUGCGAAGAGUUGUAGCACUUCGUUCUCUUGCGCUUUCUCGCUUUCUCUCGCGUGCGUGUAUCUCGCUUGCGAGUGCGCGUGCCUUGGCUUGUGGGGCUGUGUGAGUAGGAGCGUAUGUUGUCUCUCUCUUUUGCGCGUACAUCAAGCUCCUUCGGUUCUAUAGUCACCCUGAGUAAAUCAGAGUGCUCAGAGCAGUCGUAGGGGCCUUGUGCCCUUUGAACAGUCUAGCGGACUGACUUGGUUUUGCAUGGUAUGUCGAAAGACGACGUCUAGCGCUGGCUCAGAGUGUUUGUUUACGUCAGUGGUACAAGCCAGCCUAGACGUAAUGAUUAAAAGGGACAGUCGAGGGCACUGGUAUUGCGAGGCGAGAGGUGAAAUUCUAUGACCCCCGCAAGACCUCCUGAAGCGAAAGCGUCUGCCAAGGAUGUUUUCAUUAAUCAUGAACGAAAGUUAGAGGAUCGAAGGCGAUCAGAUACCGCCCUAGUUCUAACCCUAAACGAUGCCAACCACCAAUCCGCGUGUAGCACCUUUCUUAACGGGCUCGGCGGGCAGCUCCUUACUUACGGGAAACCAGAGUCUCUGGGUUCCGGGGGGAGUCUGGUUGCAAAGCUGAAACUUAAAGGAAUUGACGGAAAGGCACCACCAGGCGUGGAGCCUGCGGCUUAAUUUGACUCAACACGGGCCAUCUCACCAGGCCAGCACUCUUGUACGAUUGACAGAUUGAGAGCUCUUUCUCGAUUUAGUGGAUGGUGGUGCAUGGCCGUUCUUAGUUGGUGGAGUGAUCUGUCUGGUUAAUUCCGAUAACGAACGAGACUCUCCCCUGCUAACUAGUCGGUUGGAUCUUGAUCUUAUAUUACAUAUGUAUCGCUGUGAGUCGUGUGCCGAGUAAACCUGGCGUUGCCUGGGAGGAGGAGUCGUCGGAGCGCUGAUGUGCUUGUGCGUGUGUUGCUCUCGUGUUUGACUGUAGCCUCGUGUUGCGGUUGCGUGCGGGGGUGCGCGCGUGCUUGUGUGUUGGUGUUUCUUCUUCUUUUUCUUUCGGUGCGUCGGGCCUUGGACUGCACACUCCAAGUCCGCCGCUUAUGCUUAAAACUCUUCUUAGAGGGAUUCACGGUUCUGAAGCCGUAAGAGACUGAGAGCAAUAACAGGUCUGUGAUGCCCUUAGAUGUUCUGGGCCGCACGCGCGCUACAAUGCCGGGCACAGCAGGUAGUUUUCCUACUCCGACAGGAGCGGGUAACCCUGUGAAAGCCCUAUGUCUUACAGUUUAACGGGUGUCGAGUUCGUCUCGAUGCUCUUCUGGCGUGAUUGGGCCUGGGUCUUGCAAUUUUUUCCCACUAACGAGGAAUGCCUUGUAGCGGCGGGUCACUGAGCCCGCCGUGACUCAGUCCCUGCCCUUUGUACACACCGCCCGUCGCUACUACCGAUUGGGUGUACCAGUGAGAGCCUUGGACUGGCGUCCGCUGUUUCCUUUACUGUGUAAACAAGC